GACUUCGGUGAUUAGCGGCCUAGGACGUCACCCUCUCAAGGUGAAGAUCGCGGGUUCGAAUCCCGCUGGGGUCACCA
This 77-nucleotide transfer RNA is filed under the name Candidatus Altimarinota bacterium. RNAcentral's name for it is "tRNA-Glu". It matches the Rfam family "tRNA". From Rfam's summary of the family: Transfer RNA (tRNA) molecules are approximately 80 nucleotides in length. Their secondary structure includes four short double-helical elements and three loops (D, anti-codon, and T loops). Further hydrogen bonds mediate the characteristic L-shaped molecular structure. tRNAs have two regions of fundamental functional importance: the anti-codon, which is responsible for specific mRNA codon recognition, and the 3' end, to which the tRNAs corresponding amino acid is attached (by aminoacyl-tRNA synthetases). tRNAs cope with the degeneracy of the genetic code in two manners: having more than one tRNA (with a specific anti-codon) for a particular amino acid; and 'wobble' base-pairing, i.e. permitting non-standard base-pairing at the 3rd anti-codon position. The record is from RNAcentral. Lineage: Bacteria; Candidatus Altimarinota.